RNAcentral lists this transfer RNA (67 nucleotides) under Bathymodiolus aduloides. RNAcentral's name for it is "tRNA-Pro". The record is from RNAcentral. Lineage: Eukaryota; Metazoa; Mollusca; Bivalvia; Mytilida; Modiolidae.
UUAGAGAUAGUUUAAAAAAGAAUAGUGGUUUUGGGAAUCAUUGGUGCACAGUAGCGUGUUUUCUAAA